CAAGACUUUCAGAGAUGGAUUGGUGCCUUCGGGAACUCUGAGACAGGUGCUGCAUGGCUGUCGUCAGCUCGUGUUGUGAAAUGUUGGGUUAAGUCCCGCAACGAGCGCAACCCUUAUCCUUUGUUGCCAGCGGUUAGGCCGGGAACUCAAAGGAGACUGCCAGUGAUAAACUGGAGGAAGGUGGGGAUGACGUCAAGUCAUCAUGGCCCUUACGAGUAGGGCUACACACGUGCUACAAUGGCGCAUACAAAGAGAAGCGACCUCGCGAGAGCAAGCGGACCUCAUAAAGUGCGUCGUAGUCCGGAUUGGAGUCUGCAACUCGACUCCAUGAAGUCGGAAUCGCUAGUAAUCGUAGAUCAGAAUGCUACGGUGAAUACGUUCCCGGGUCUUGUACACACCGA
This 401-nucleotide ribosomal RNA is filed under the name Enterobacter sp. COR248. RNAcentral describes it as "bacterial SSU rRNA". It matches the Rfam family "Bacterial small subunit ribosomal RNA", at positions 990 to 1393 of the family's 1533-position model. Lineage: Bacteria; Pseudomonadati; Pseudomonadota; Gammaproteobacteria; Enterobacterales; Enterobacteriaceae. The record is from RNAcentral.